UACGGAGGGUGCAAGCGUUAUCCGGAUUCACUGGGGUUAAAGGGUGCGUAGGAGGGCAGGUAAGUCAGUGGUGAAAUCUCCAAGCUUAACUUGGAAACUGCCGUUGAUACUAUCUGUCUUGAAUACCGUGGAGGUGAGCGGAAUAUGUCAUGUAGCGGUGAAAUGCUUAGAUAUGACAUAGAACACCAAUGGCGAAGGCAGCUCGCUACACGAAUAUUGACUCUGAGGCACGAAAGCGUGGGGAGCAAACAGG
RNAcentral lists this ribosomal RNA (253 nucleotides) under uncultured bacterium. RNAcentral's name for it is "partial 16S ribosomal RNA". It matches the Rfam family "Bacterial small subunit ribosomal RNA", at positions 524 to 776 of the family's 1533-position model. The record is from RNAcentral.